ACGGGUGAGUAACACGUGGAUAACCUACCUAUAAGACUGGGAUAACUUCGGGAAACCGGAGCUAAUACCGGAUAAUAUUUUGAACCGCAUGGUUCAAAAGUGAAAGACGGUCUUGCUGUCACUUAUAGAUGGAUCCGCGCUGCAUUAGCUAGUUGGUAAGGUAACGGCUUACCAAGGCAACGAUGCAUAGCCGACCUGAGAGGGUGAUCGGCCACACUGGAACUGAGACACGGUCCAGACUCCUACGGGAGGCAGCAGUAGGGAAUCUUCCGCAAUGGGCGAAAGCCUGACGGAGCAACGCCGCGUGAGUGAUGAAGGUCUUCGGAUCGUAAAACUCUGUUAUUAGGGAAGAACAUAUGUGUAAGUAACUGUGCACAUCUUGACGGUACCUAAUCAGAAAGCCACGGCUAACUACGUGCCAGCAGCCGCGGUAAUACGUAGGUGGCAAGCGUUAUCCGGAAUUAUUGGGCGUAAAGCGCGCGUAGGCGGUUUUUUAAGUCUGAUGUGAAAGCCCACGGCUCAACCGUGGAGGGUCAUUGGAAACUGGAAAACUUGAGUGCAGAAGAGGAAAGUGGAAUUCCAUGUGUAGCGGUGAAAUGCGCAGAGAUAUGGAGGAACACCAGUGGCGAAGGCGACUUUCUGGUCUGUAACUGACGCUGAUGUGCGAAAGCGUGGGGAUCAAACAGGAUUAGAUACCCUGGUAGUCCACGCCGUAAACGAUGAGUGCUAAGUGUUAGGGGGUUUCCGCCCCUUAGUGCUGCAGCUAACGCAUUAAGCACUCCGCCUGGGGAGUACGACCGCAAGGUUGAAACUCAAAGGAAUUGACGGGGACCCGCACAAGCGGUGGAGCAUGUGGUUUAAUUCGAAGCAACGCGAAGAACCUUACCAAAUCUUGACAUCCUUUGACAACUCUAGAGAUAGAGCUUUCCCCUUCGGGGGACAAAGUGACAGGUGGUGCAUGGUUGUCGUCAGCUCGUGUCGUGAGAUGUUGGGUUAAGUCCCGCAACGAGCGCAACCCUUAAGCUUAGUUGCCAUCAUUAAGUUGGGCACUCUAAGUUGACUGCCGGUGACAAACCGGAGGAAGGUGGGGAUGACGUCAAAUCAUCAUGCCCCUUAUGAUUUGGGCUACACACGUGCUACAAUGGACA
This 1148-nucleotide ribosomal RNA is filed under the name Staphylococcus aureus. RNAcentral's name for it is "bacterial SSU rRNA". It matches the Rfam family "Bacterial small subunit ribosomal RNA", at positions 102 to 1236 of the family's 1533-position model. The record is from RNAcentral. Lineage: Bacteria; Bacillati; Bacillota; Bacilli; Caryophanales; Staphylococcaceae.